GGUGCCAGGUCAGGUGUGCCAGCGUUAGUUACCCCGUUAGGAGCGAUUCUAACACCCGCGUCAUCGGGGGCCGCCGGAACUGAGCCCAGCCCCGUACAGACAGUUUUUCUUACGCUGUGUCACUAAUUAUCGUUUGCAAGAGUCGCCACAACGCCCCACGCAUUCACUGUCGAUGGGGAAAGGCUUUCCUACACUGGCGUUAGCGUAGAUGAUGUAAUAUUGCAGAAAACAAGCUCAAAUGUUCUCGGCGGGCGGGGCGGGGCGGGGCGGGGCAGUUUGACAUUCACCUCGUAACAAAAUUUUCGUCUUCACGGCUAAAAUACAUCUUUCCUGCACUACUCUCAUAUAUCCACGUGUGCACGGGCGUGGAAGGCUGUCGUGGGCGUACAGGCGUGAUCUUAAGUGUCUUCCUUUUUGAGAAAAUAAGGAUAUAUAUUUUUCGUGGCGGGCUGGGACAGUAACCUAGCCCGUAACAUAUUUUUUCUUUUUCACGGCUAAAAUACAUCUUUCCUGCACUAAUCUCAUAUAUCCACGUGUGCACGGGCGUGGAAGGCUGUCGUGGGAAUCAAACUCGGGCUCUCUCAUUUGUGAGCUGAGUGUGCUAAUCACUGCACCACGAAGCCCCCUGCUGGGUUGGGUGAGGGGGGGGGCGGUUAGUUUGCAUAUGUGGACAUUUUUUGUGGUGUGUAGUGGGCUGGUGUAAUAGUGGUUACCACUUGAGCCAGCUAAACGUAAUAUAUGGAGGAGAAAAGAGAAUAAAUGAACCCCUGGACAUACCCACAACUCCUGUGAAAGCCUUGUCAAAUAUGUGUAGGCCUACUUGUGUGCCAACAUAUGUAAGAGCAUGGGCCUAACUUUUCUUCUUCCUCCUCAGGUUUUGGGCGCCCAGCCGUACACGUGAACUAACAGUCUUGGCUUCAGGGCAGGUCGCUAAAAUGAUGGUGGCUCGCGCUAAUUGCAGUUCACUCUAAUUAGCCUGUGGUACCCCGCUGACAACUUCCGAUGACUGAGAAACUGCACCAUCAGCCGCUACACAUUGAGUCCUGCCAGUGAGAAAUGAGUGCAGCCACAUCCCGAGUGUUCCCGUAAUGGCCGUUUGUCUGGCCUUGUGUAACAAAAUGCCAUGGUCUACCAUGUCGAAAGCUUUCACAAAAUCAAGGAGUGUCGAUGAUUUGAUUGAGGCAGUAUUCCUUGGCAAAGUGCAUGACAGCUUUUGCCUGGGUCCUCAUGUCUUCCGCUCCUCCAUACACACACUCCAAAUUCCAGUCUGUUAGCGGAAAGUUUAAGUCUCCAAGGCAGUGCCAGUGUUUGGAGUGCCACUGUGCCUGGCCGUCCAGCGCUGCCCGGCACACGAUGGCAUCCAGCUGCCCACCAUUGUCAGGGAGUGCAUUGACCAGAUAGAGGAGCGGGGUGAGUGUUAUUAUUGUUAUUAUUAUUAUUAUUAUUAUUAUUAUUAUUAUUAUUAUUGUUAUU
Eriocheir sinensis (Chinese mitten crab) is the source of this 1473-nucleotide long non-coding RNA. RefSeq lists it as uncharacterized. The record is from RefSeq and is a predicted model, not a curated record. NCBI's taxonomy places the organism in Eukaryota, Metazoa, Arthropoda, Malacostraca, Decapoda, Varunidae. The transcript has 4 exons.